GACCUCGUAGCUUAGCUGGUAGAGCAUGCGCGUUCAAAGCGCAUAUGGUGACCGUACGUGGGUUCGAAUCCCGCCAAAGCUG
RNAcentral lists this transfer RNA (82 nucleotides) under Echinostoma caproni. It matches the Rfam family "tRNA". From Rfam's summary of the family: Transfer RNA (tRNA) molecules are approximately 80 nucleotides in length. Their secondary structure includes four short double-helical elements and three loops (D, anti-codon, and T loops). Further hydrogen bonds mediate the characteristic L-shaped molecular structure. tRNAs have two regions of fundamental functional importance: the anti-codon, which is responsible for specific mRNA codon recognition, and the 3' end, to which the tRNAs corresponding amino acid is attached (by aminoacyl-tRNA synthetases). tRNAs cope with the degeneracy of the genetic code in two manners: having more than one tRNA (with a specific anti-codon) for a particular amino acid; and 'wobble' base-pairing, i.e. permitting non-standard base-pairing at the 3rd anti-codon position. The record is from Rfam by way of RNAcentral. Lineage: Eukaryota; Metazoa; Platyhelminthes; Trematoda; Plagiorchiida; Echinostomatidae.